GGGGCGGGGAGGGGCCGGACGGCGGGGCCGGAGCUGGUGCUGCUCCCGAGCCCAGCGCACCCGGGUCCCGACGCUGGCUCCAGCCUUCCUUUCCUGCAUCGCCUUGCUCUGCCCUGGCUCCACUUCUGCUCCGCUCCUCCGGGCGUCAGACCGCUGGGGCUGCGGGGUUCCCCCUCCGACUUUGCCCGGGCUGCCCCCGCUUGCACCCCGGAGCCGGGCGCGCGCGGGUCCUGGUAACUGUCGCCUCGGCCGCCGAGGCGCUUUUCCGCUGGUGGCCCGGGCGCAGCGUUCGGGAGGCGGAGGCGUGAGCGCGGCUUCCCGGCCCGGGGUCCGCAACCGCCCGUCCUACCCCGCCUCGGCCCGGUGCCCCGCAGCCGCGGCCCCUUCCGAGCGCAGGGGGCCGGCGGCCGGGGCAGGGCGGGCGUAUUCAAUGGAAGUAUGUUACCAGCUGCCGGUGCUGCCCCUGGACAGGCCGGUCCCCCAGCACGUCCUCAGCCGCCGAGGAGCCAUCAGCUUCAGCUCCAGCUCCGCGCUCUUCGGCUGCCCCAAUCCCCGGCAGCUCUCCCAGAGGCGUGGAGCUAUUUCCUAUGACAGCUCUGACCAGACUGCAUUGUACAUUCGUAUGCUAGGAGAUGUUCGCGUAAGGAGUCGAGCAGGAUUUGAAUCAGAAAGAAGAGGUUCUCAUCCGUAUAUUGAUUUUCGUAUUUUUCACGCUCAAUCUGAAAUUGAAGUUUCAGUGUCUGCAAGGAAUAUCAGAAGGUUACUAAGUUUCCAGCGGUAUCUUAGAUCAUCACGUUUUUUUCGUGGUACUACUGUUUCAAACUCUCUAAACAUUUUAGAUGAUGAUUAUAAUGGACAAGCCAAGUGUAUGCUGGGAAAAGUUGGAAAUUGGAAUUUUGAUAUCUUUCUAUUUGAUAGACUAACAAAUGGAAAUAGUCUAGUAAGUUUAACCUGUCAUUUAUUUAGUCUUCAUGGAUUAAUUGAGUACUUCCAUUUAGAUAUGGUGAAACUUCGUAGAUUUUUAGUUAUGAUUCAAGAAGAUUACCACAGCCAGAACCCGUACCACAACGCUGUCCACGCUGCCGACGUCACUCAGGCCAUGCACUGUUACCUACGAGAACCCAAGCUUGCCAACUCCGUAACUCCUUGGGAUGUCUUGCUGAGCUUAAUUGCAGCUGCCACGCAUGAUCUGGAUCAUCCAGGUGUUAAUCAACCUUUCCUUAUUAAAACGAACCAUUACUUGGCAACUUUAUACAAGAAUACCUCAGUCCUGGAAAAUCACCACUGGAGAUCUGCAGUGGGAUUAUUGAGAGAAUCCGGUUUAUUCUCGCAUAUGCCGUUAGAGAGCAGGAAACAAAUGGAGACUCAGAUAGGUGCUUUGAUACUAGCCACAGACAUCAGUCGCCAAAACGAGUAUCUGUCGUUGUUUAGGUCCCAUUUGGAUAGAGGCGACUUAUGCCUGGAAGAUGCCAGACACAGGCAUUUGGUUUUACAGAUGGCUUUGAAAUGUGCUGAUAUUUGUAACCCAUGUCGGACCUGGGAAUUAAGCAAGCAGUGGAGUGAAAAAGUAACAGAGGAAUUCUUCCAUCAAGGAGACAUAGAGAAGAAGUAUCAUUUGGGUGUGAGUCCGUUUUGUGAUCGUCAGACUGAGUCUAUUGCCAACAUCCAGAUUGGUUUUAUGACAUACCUAGUGGAGCCUUUAUUCACAGAAUGGGCCAGGUUUUCCAAUACCAGGCUGUCCCAGACGAUGCUCGGCCACGUGGGGCUGAACAAAGCCAGUUGGAAGGGACUGCAGAGAGAACAGCCCGGCAGUGAGGACCCCGAAGCUGCAUUCGAGGAGUUGAACUCAUAGUUAUUACCUCAGGAAACCGGUUAUCAUUACCCAGAACCAGUGGACAGGCUGCCUCCUGGAGGUCAGAACGUGACGUGGGGCUGGAGGUGAGGGAACUGACUCUCGACUGCAAGGUUUCCGGGUGGAUGAUGCCAGGAUCUCCUCUGUCGGUCACUUGAACCCACUUUUUAAUGAUGAGACCUGAACACACAGCAAUAUGGAUAUGGCUCUCAUGGGAAACCUUGAAUCUGCAAAGCCCAGCAGGAGUGAAUCCGAAAGGAGAAGCAAAGGAAGUUUUGCAGAGUGCCAGGUGUUUCUCAAAGCAUUUACUCUGCGAACAUGAAACUUGAACUGAAUCUUUCAGCAGAAAUCUCUUGGAAUUCAACCAGUCUCAUGCAACCUUGUGUGUCUGUACCUCCCACUAAGUUCUCUGAGAGACGGAAAUGUGAAGUGCCCAGCUCUGCUGCCUCUGGCCAGACUCGAUGUUUACAAUCCACUCUGAAAUACUGGUUCUACAUUUGCCUUGGAGCAUAAUUGUUAAGGAACCACUAAGAAUUUUAAAGAUCAAACUUCAAACUGCAGCUCCUUCCCCCUGGUUUGCCUUUCUUCUCCUUUGGAUGCCACCAAAGCCUCCCAUUUGCUCUGGUUUUAUUUGUGCACUGAAAACCGUGCACUCUCAUAGCGUGCGCCAAGCUUCCCCUCCAGUGCUCUUCGGCAGUGCACUUUUUUUAACGCUUAGUUUUAAUUUGGGGCGGGCGGGGAAGAGCACCCGUGUCCUAGCUGUAUUAUGAUUCUGCAGUGAAGACAUUGCAUGUUGUUUUCACUACUGUACACUUGACCUGCACAUGCAAGAAAAGGUGGAAUGUGUAAAACACCAUAAUCAGCUCAGGGUAUUGCCAAUCUGAAAUAAAGUGGGAUGGGGAAGUGUGUCCUUCAGAGCAAGGGUACUAAAGCCCCUUUCGCUGCAGUGAGAGGCAGAUCUUCUUGGGAAGCCAGAUUGUGAUCAGCCGGUUACUUGGUGAGCAUGGAUUCUGAGCAAGGCAAGCAAGUUGCCUCAUGCAUCCGUCUCCCUAUGGGGCCAUACCUGCUGAUGCCGUGUUUAUGGAACAGGGUUCCCUCUUCCUGUGGACGAUGCUAGAGGUUCCCUGCCAUUCGCUGCUUCUCCACAUCAGCUUCUGAUUGGCACUUGCAGUAGAUAUGUCAGUACCUUCAGCCUUGUCUCCUUUGAACUGGCCUGGGCAAAAUCUGCCUGUGUCUGAUUGAUGGCUUUUGCUCUGAUCCACUAUGUUUCUUACUGAUGUUCAAAGGAUUGUCUUAUUUCCACUCUCAGGGGGAGACUUCUCAGUGUUGCUCUCAUUUCCUGCCCAACACAUAUAAUAAACUGGUUUUUUUGUUACGUUACGUAUAUGUGGGAAUCACUGUCUAUACUGCUUUUUGAAAUAUGACCUAUGUUCCUUGAACAUUAAUUUUCUAGAAAAAUUUGAGAAAACAGUUCAGUAACUUAGAAGAUCACAUUUGAAAUAAUUAUAUUAUGGAACGGAAUGCAAAAUUUUAAAGAUAAAACAGGAGACUUCAAAGAAUUGUUGAGCAUAAUGUAGCAGCCCAUUGGGGUUCCAGGCCCAAUUCUUCAGUUGUGGGGGGCAUCUGCUAUGCUUGGGGGUAAAGUCCUUGGAGAGAAAAUUUUGGCAAGCCUUAGCUGAAUGAGAAAAUAUCUGGUUCCUGUCAGUAUUUAUACUCUGUAAAUGUGAUGGUUCAUAAUGAUUCUCUGUAUAAAAUAACUAUUUUAUGUCCUUUGCAAACCUGGGAAAUAUAUCUGUACCUAACAUACAGAUUUAGAGGUGCUAAUAAUUCUUUGAAGAUUCCUGUAACAGUCUCUUUUUCCAAAAUGCUUUGUCUCCUAAAGCUUUCACUUUUCUUAAAACUUUUACAUCAGAGAUUUACAAUGUUUUCAUGUGCACUUUUUUAAAUGUAUAUUUUGUUUAAAUCCCCUCCUAAUCAGUACCUCCUUGCUUGGGAAAAUAUAUAAUGACUGAUAGCUACUGCGCAUUCAGUAAUGUUUUUAAAUAAAUGUGCAUAUUAAACACCAUUGGAUCAGCAGACAUUGGAAGCCUAAGUUUGUACAAAUAUGUGCAAGAUUGAGUCUGAGCCACUCCUUGCUUGCUGUGGAUCUGCAGACAACCCGUCUUCUGGAAGGCCCCAGAGGUCCACGGUGGAAUGACGGGGGUGAGCUGACUGGUGCGUGUCUGGGGCAGGGGGCGGGAGACAAGUUCUCCAUCUUGUCUGGUGCUCAGCAUAGGGCUAGCGUAAAUUGGGCAAUCAAUAAGAGGUUGUUGAGUAAAUGACUUGGUGGUUUAAUUAUGUUUCCUUUUUAGCUGUCAUUAAGAGAAAUUAUACUGAAACUGGUCUGUUUAUGCUGAAGUAUGUGGUAAGCAAUACCCAAGCUCCUGUUGUGUGCACAGCACUGCGCUGGGUGUAAUAAAGGCACUAAAAGUUCCAGAA
This is an RNA transcript of Eptesicus fuscus (big brown bat), 4330 nucleotides long. It is a transcript of the gene named phosphodiesterase 7A, with no coding region annotated. The record is from RefSeq and is a predicted model, not a curated record. NCBI's taxonomy places the organism in Eukaryota, Metazoa, Chordata, Mammalia, Chiroptera, Vespertilionidae. The transcript is spliced from 14 exons.